RNAcentral lists this ribosomal RNA (274 nucleotides) under uncultured bacterium. Its description in RNAcentral is "partial 16S ribosomal RNA". It matches the Rfam family "Archaeal small subunit ribosomal RNA", at positions 473 to 747 of the family's 1478-position model. The record is from RNAcentral.
AAACCAGCACCUCAAGUGGUCAGGAUGAUUAUUGGGCCUAAAGCAUCCGUAGCCGGCUCUGUAAGUUUUCGGUUAAAUCUGUAUGCUCAACAUACAGGCCGCCGGGAAUACUGCAGAGCUAGGGAGUGGGAGAGGUAGACGGUACUCGGGAGGAAGUGGUAAAAUGCUUUGAUCUCUCGAUGACCACCUGUGGCGAAGGCGGUCUACCAGAACACGUCCGACGGUGAGGGAUGAAAGCUGGGGGAGCAAACCGGAUUAGAUACCCGAGUAGUCC